This 460-nucleotide ribosomal RNA is filed under the name uncultured bacterium. RNAcentral's name for it is "partial 16S ribosomal RNA". It matches the Rfam family "Bacterial small subunit ribosomal RNA", at positions 338 to 795 of the family's 1533-position model. The record is from RNAcentral.
CCUACGGGAGGCAGCAGUGAGGAAUAUUGGUCAAUGGACGCAAGUCUGAACCAGCCAUGCCGCGUGCAGGAAGACGGCUCUAUGAGUUGUAAACUGCUUUUGUACGAGGGUAAAUCCCGAUACGUGUAUCGGGUUGCAAGUAUCGUACGAAUAAGGAUCGGCUAACUCCGUGCCAGCAGCCGCGGUAAUACGGAGGAUCCAAGCGUUAUCCGGAUUUAUUGGGUUUAAAGGGUGCGUAGACGGUUGGAUAAGUUAGAUGUGAAAUUCCGGGGCUCAACUGCGGCACUGCCUUUGAUACUGUCGGUCUAGAGUUUAGUUGCGGUAGGCGGAAUGUGUGGUGUAGCGGUGAAAUGCAUAGAGAUCAUACAGAACACCGAUUGCGAAGGCAGCUUACCAAACUACGACUGACGUUGAGGCACGAAAGCGUGGGGAGCAAACAGGAUUAGAUACCCCUGUAGUC